CCUAAUUUUCUUUCAUUUUGAUGCUUAAUUUGUAAAUUUUAUACGCUAUAAAAAUUUGGAUGAAGUUAUACGUAUAUCUCUUACCAGAUCUCCUAAUGUAUAGUUGGAAUUGACAAGGGAGUUAUCAACAUCAAAUACAAAGUACCCGCAGCAUCUACAUCAAGAAUCUACUAAGUGCCGAUCUGUUUUAAGUUUAAAUAUUUGCAAGUGUUGGUAAAACAGCCGGAAUUAUAACAACAAAGUCUAUAAAUUGUCUAUAAAUUCUUUAUUGCAAGAUUGGAAUUACGCAAACAUUAUCAUAAACUAAACGUUAGUUAUAUAUGGAAUAAUUUGCUACAGAUAAUAAUCUCCCAUUCGGUGGAUGACUAAUCAACAAAACAUGCGUACCGGUUAUGACUCAUGUAUAAAGGUCUUUGAGACUCAUAUUAUUUAUAAAAAAUUUUGUUGCUUAUUAAAUUCUGAGAAAACGAAAUGAGUAUAAUAGGAGCGGUCGGGUCUACAUCUCGAAAUUACUGUCACGACGAAAUGGCAUUCAAACUCACCACCUUUAUUUGAAUUUCACCAUUUAUAAGAAA
Molecule: long non-coding RNA, 575 nt
Organism: Teleopsis dalmanni
Lineage: Eukaryota; Metazoa; Arthropoda; Insecta; Diptera; Diopsidae
Exons: 2
Source: RefSeq, a predicted model, not a curated record